RNAcentral lists this ribosomal RNA (492 nucleotides) under uncultured bacterium. Its description in RNAcentral is "partial 16S ribosomal RNA". It matches the Rfam family "Bacterial small subunit ribosomal RNA", at positions 29 to 507 of the family's 1533-position model. The record is from RNAcentral.
AGUGAACGCUGGCGGUAGGCCUAACACAUGCAAGUCGAACGGCAGCACAGUAAGAGCUUGCUCUUACGGGUGGCGAGUGGCGGACGGGUGAGGAAUACAUCGGAAUCUACUUUUUCGCGGGGGAUAACGUAGGGAAACUUACGCUAAUACCGCAUACGACCUACGGGUGAAAGCAGGGGAUCUUCGGACCUUGCGCGAUUGAAUGAGCCGAUGUCGGAUUAGCUAGUUGGCGGGGUAAAGGCCCACCAAGGCGACGAUCCGUAGCUGGUCUGAGAGGAUGAUCAGCCACACUGGAACUGAGACACGGUCCAGACUCCUACGGGAGGCAGCAGUGGGGAAUAUUGGACAAUGGGGGCAAGCCUGAUCCAGCCAUACCGCGUGGGUGAAGAAGGCCUUCGGGUUGUAAAGCCCUUUUGUUGGGAAAGAAAAGCAGCAGGUUAAUACCCCGCUGUUCUGACGGUACCCAAAGAAUAAGCACCGGCUAACUUCGUG